This is a long non-coding RNA of Anguilla anguilla (European eel), 1392 nucleotides long. RefSeq lists it as uncharacterized. Lineage: Eukaryota; Metazoa; Chordata; Actinopteri; Anguilliformes; Anguillidae. The record is from RefSeq and is a predicted model, not a curated record. The transcript is spliced from 3 exons.
UGCAGGAAAAAACUUUCCAAAUUAGGAAGCAACAUCCGGCUCAGACUUCAUAUAAACAUCUGCAAGACAGUCUCUCCAGCCUUCAGCUAACUGUCGUACUGAAGUCUGGGACACUGACAGCUCUCACAGUCCAGCAUCUAUAGAAUUAAACCUUUUUAGCAAUUUACAGGACAAACGCGGACAUACUAUCAGUACAAGAAAGGAAGAUACAAGAGAUGAGAAUUUUAAAGAUCACAAUCGUCAUUUUCAUAAUAGUGACGACAUCUUCAAAACCAGUCCGCCGUUUUAAAUACCAUUUUGUGAACACGAUCGACAGCAGCUCGUCUGAGUCAUCUGAAUUAUCUGAAUCCUCAGAAUCCAGCGAUUCAAGUUUUUCUUCAGAAGAGACUUUGGUUCGAGAGACAACGCGACAGCCGAUCACUGCAGAUCGGACGACCCCCCCAGACUUUUCAGGGACAGUGGUGCCCGUCAUCGCAGAAACCACACCUCAGCCAGCCGUGGCAGACACAGCCCCGCCCCUAACCAUCACCAUGGCAGCAGUUCGACUUCUCAUUGCCAACACCACUCCUCAGGAAGUUACAGAUGAGAGAACUCCUCCCACAGUCGUCAUGACAACAAUGGCACCAAUAACUGCAGAGACAAACAGUCAAACAGAGGCUGGCAGAACAGCUGUGGCAGAGCCUGUCACUAUGCUGUGUUAUACUGUUAGAGCAGAUAAGGUAAGGGACCCUAAAGUUACAGAGAGUAGAGGGGAUAGCUUAUAGCUCAUGACAUGCAAAAUCUUGGGAUUUUGGGUAACAUGAUUAAAUGCUAUUGCUAUGGAUCAAUUUUACAAUUAAUUUUUAUAGGCCCAGUUUUUUUAAAUGUUUUUUUGUCUGGAUGAGUGUGUUUAAGAUACACCUGGUUAUUUAUAUGGUAUUCAAUUGCCAAACUGCCCAACAUUACAUUCACAUUUUGUCCAGCUCAACUACACGUUACUGUAGAACAGUACAAACUGCAGAAUAGAAUAACAAAACAAACUGCUCACACAUUUUGACUAAACCUAAAAUUACAGCACUCAUUUUGUGCAUAUUCUAAACCUUCUCUCACAUGCUUUAGAGAGGAUUAUGUGUUGUAAUUGUAACAAGUGUGUGUGGUUCACUGUAAAAAAAAAAAAUUAAAAAAAGACCAAUCAAGAGGAUUGCCAAUUUUAGCACUGGAAUUAGCAGACCAAUAAGAAUAUCACCACUCUCUAGAACAUUUAUUUACAUUUGUCUUUCUUUUACAAAUAAAGCAUUACCUACAGAAUAAACCAUACAAGAAGCACUCUGUCUACGAUUCCUCUCUCAGCAAUACCAAGUUGUUCAAUAUAAGCCCAGCAGGAAGAGAGAUAAUAUAAUUGUUCUAUACAAA